CCGGACCGGCGCACGGGUGAGUAAACACGUAUGCAACCUGGGCCGUCACAGGUGGAUAACCGGAAGAAAUUCCGACUAAUACAGCAUAACACUCCUGAGGGACAUCCUUCGGGAGUCAAAGGAGGCAACUCCGGUGACGGAUGGGCAUGCGGCGCAUUAGGUAGUUGGUAGGGUAACGGCCUACCAAGCCGACGAUGCGUAGGGGUUCUGAGAGGAAGGUCCCCCACAUUGGAACUGAGACACGGUCCAAACUCCUACGGAAGGCAGCAG
This 270-nucleotide ribosomal RNA is filed under the name uncultured bacterium. Its description in RNAcentral is "partial 16S ribosomal RNA". It matches the Rfam family "Bacterial small subunit ribosomal RNA", at positions 90 to 354 of the family's 1533-position model. The record is from RNAcentral.